This 252-nucleotide ribosomal RNA is filed under the name uncultured bacterium. RNAcentral's name for it is "partial 16S ribosomal RNA". It matches the Rfam family "Bacterial small subunit ribosomal RNA", at positions 524 to 776 of the family's 1533-position model. The record is from RNAcentral.
UACGUAGGUGGCGAGCGUUAUCCGGAAUGAUUGGGCGUAAAGGGUGCGUAGGCGGCCUGCUAAGUCUGGAGUGAAAGGUACCGGCUCAACCGGUACAGGCUCUGGAAACUGGCGGGCUAGAGAGCAGGAGAGGGCGGUGGAACUCCAUGUGUAGCGGUAAAAUGCGUAGAUAUAUGGAGGAACACCGGUGGCGAAAGCGGCUCUCUGGCCUGUAACUGACACUGAGGCUCGAAAGCGUGGGGAGCAAACAGG